GGAUUGCCCUAGUAACGGCGAGUGAAGCGGCAACAGCUCAAAUUUGGAAUCUGGCCCUUUCGGGGCCCGAGUUGUAAUUUGCAGAGGAUGCUUCGGCGUGGGCCCCGGGUUAAGUCCCCUGGAACGGGGCGUCCUGGAGGGUGAGAACCCCGUACCUAUCCGGGUGCCCUUCGCCGUGUGAAGUUCCUUCGACGAGUCGAGUUGUUUGGGAAUGCAGCUCUAAGCGGGAGGUAAAUUUCUUCUAAAGCUAAAUACCGGCCAGAGACCGAUAGCGCACAAGUAGAGUGAUCGAAAGAUGAAAAGCACUUUGGAAAGAGAGUUAAAAAGCACGUGAAAUUGUUGAAAGGGAAGCUCUUGCCGCCAGACUUGCCGCGGUUGCUCAGCCACCCUCCGGGGCGGUGUACUCUUCCGUCGGCAGGCCAGCGUCGGUUUGGGCGGCCGGAUAAAGGCCUCGGGAAUGUAGCACUCCUCGGGGUGUGUUAUAGCCCGGGGUGCAAUGCGGUCAGCCCGGUCCGAGGCACGCGAUCGCGAGGACGCUGGCGUAAUGGCUGCAAGCGACCCGUCUUGAAACACGGACCAAGGAGUCUAACAUCUGUGCGAGUGUUUGGGCGUCAAACCCAUGCGCGUAAUGAAAGUGAACGGAGGUGGGAACCCCCUUGAGGGGCGCACCAUCGACCGAUCCUGAUGUCUCCGGAUGGAUUUGAGUAAGAGCAUAGCUGUUGGGACCCGAAAGAUGGUGAACUAUUCCCGGAUAGGGUGAAGCCAGAGGAAACUCUGGUGGAGGCUCGCAGCGGUUCUGACGUGCAAAUCGAUCGUCAAAUCUAGGAAUAGGGGCGAAAGACUAAUCGAACCAU
RNAcentral lists this ribosomal RNA (854 nucleotides) under Dendrographa latebrarum. Its description in RNAcentral is "LSU rRNA". It matches the Rfam family "Eukaryotic large subunit ribosomal RNA", at positions 72 to 943 of the family's 3401-position model. Lineage: Eukaryota; Fungi; Ascomycota; Arthoniomycetes; Arthoniales; Roccellaceae. The record is from RNAcentral.